CACGGGGGGAGCAAGCGUUGUUCGGAAUCACUGGGCGUAAAGGGUGUCUAGGCGGUCAGGUAAGUGAGAUGUGAAAUGCCCCGGCUUACCCGGGGACCGGCAUCUCAUACUGUCUGGCUUGAGUAUGGGAGAGGAUGAGGGAAUUCCUGGUGUAGCGGUGAAAUGCGUAGAUAUCAGGAGGAACACCGGUGGCGAAGGCAAUCCCCUGGGCCUGCACUGACGCUCAUGCACGAAAGCGUGGGGAGCAAACAGG
Molecule: ribosomal RNA, 253 nt
Filed under: uncultured bacterium
Lineage: Bacteria
Description: partial 16S ribosomal RNA
Rfam family: Bacterial small subunit ribosomal RNA
Source: RNAcentral